Oryza sativa Japonica Group (Japanese rice) is the source of this 1282-nucleotide non-coding RNA. The record is from RefSeq and is a predicted model, not a curated record. NCBI's taxonomy places the organism in Eukaryota, Viridiplantae, Streptophyta, Magnoliopsida, Poales, Poaceae.
UUCCCCAUCGCCGGUGGAGGAGGGAGAGCAAGACGCCAGCGAAGCACCGCCACGCGUAAGCGACGACGAGGACGGCGGAAGCCGGCGGAGAUUCACCGCCGUGAGCGGCAACGACGCCGAUGAAGUCGAUAGAACGCCACUGUUUUUCCGAGAGUCACGGGUGGGUGGGGGAAAAUGAAACAGGCACUGGACGCUUCUGUUCAGAAAAACGGUUUAUACACUAAUUAAUCACGGUUAAUCGCUAUCGGUAAUCGCAAGUUAAGUUCUCCCGUUGCAACUGAAAGCCGUGGAGUAGAUUUUCUGUUACCCAAGACCCACUCUAUUUUUUAUUAGCCCACCGCCUUCCCUUUUUUUCCGGAUCUGAGGUCUUGGCUCUUGGCGGCGGUAAGCUCGGGUAAGCUGGGGUCGACGGCGGCGAACUUCACCUACACGCUCCGCGCAGAUUUAACAUGCCAUCAUCCUCUGUACCAUCGCGAUGCCCCUGACGAGAAGGCAGCGAUCGAGGAGGUGCGCCCCACGCUAGAUCGGGAGAAAGAGGUGAGCCCGUCGUGGCCCAUAGAGCACCUCCGUCGCACCACCCGUGCAGAUCGGAGGAUGGGACAUCGUCCCUUGCUCUAUGAGGUGGUGGAACUGGACCUGCUGAUAGGCCUCCCCUAUGGACUGAGCUUUAGCGCCGUUGAUCACCAUCUUCACCGGUCGGAGGAGGCCGAAGAUGUAGCCGUCAGAUCAGGCACGACACUGCCGAUCUUCCUCGUGUGUUCCGUGGUUGUGUUGUAGAAGAGUAGCAGCCUGCUACGGCUGGUGGCGGUGUUGUUAAUGGCCGGCACGUCUCAGCGUGGAUGUCGGCAGGCACUUCUGUUCAGUGUCCAAAAUGCAUAUAUACGAUUAUCAUUAAGGCAGCGAAAGUGUACUGCGUCAUAAUUGGAAUUCUACUACUGCAAGCAUAUAGCAUUAUGGAUUUAUGAAGCUGUGUCCCCGAUACUUCUGAGAUGUCCUGCUAACUGAGCCCGCCCCGAGCUUCACACGAGACUAGAGAAUCGGCAAGUGGCGAUGCCGUCGGCGUUUAUGGGGUCGUGCUACAACAAACAACAAUUAUUCAUAGUGACGAGGUCUAGUGAAGGUGUCAAAUGCUCAUUUGCCGAUGUCCUAGUGCUCAUAUAGUCUGUAAUCUUUCUCGCGGAGUCAGAUGAUUUUAUUUGUGUGCAAUUUUUUUUUCAUGGAUAGAUUUUGAUGUUUGAGAUGUAACUACGUAUGGUGAUGGUAGAAUAUCUUUUUACUGCGA